RNAcentral lists this unclassified non-coding RNA (335 nucleotides) under soil metagenome. RNAcentral describes it as "partial contains 5.8S ribosomal RNA, internal transcribed spacer 2, and large subunit ribosomal RNA". The stretch from base 1 to 120 matches the Rfam family "5.8S ribosomal RNA", at positions 35 to 154 of the family's 154-position model. The record is from RNAcentral.
GAUGAAGAACGUAGCGAAAUGCGAUAAGUAAUGUGAAUUGCAGAAUUCAGUGAAUCAUCGAAUCUUUGAACGCACAUUGCGCCCGCCAGUAUUCUGGCGGGCAUGCCUGUUCGAGCGUCAUUUCAACCAUCAAGCCCCCGGCUUGUGUUGGGGACCUGCGGCUGCCGCAGGCCCUGAAAACCAGUGGCGGGCUCGCUAGUCACUCCGAGCGUAGUAAUACAUCUCGCUUUGGGCGUGCGGCGGGUUCUUGCCGUUAAACACCCCCUUUUUACCAAGGUUGACCUCGGAUCAGGUAGGAAUACCCGCUGAACUUAAGCAUAUCAAUAAGCGGAGGA